GCGGCGAGCGAAGCGGGAAGAGCUCAAAUUUAUAAUCUGGCACCUUCGGUGUCCGAGUUGUAAUCUCUAGAAGUGUUUUCCGCGUUGGACCGCACACAAGUCUGUUGGAAUACAGCGGCAUAGUGGUGAGACCCCCGUAUAUGGUGCGGACGCCCAACGCUUUGUGAUACACUUUCGAAGAGUCGAGUUGUUUGGGAAUGCAGCUCAAAUUGGGUGGUAAAUUCCAUCUAAAGCUAAAUAUUGGCGAGAGACCGAUAGCGAACAAGUACCGUGAGGGAAAGAUGAAAAGCACUUUGGAAAGAGAGUUAACAGUACGUGAAAUUGUUGGAAGGGAAACGCUUGAAGUCAGACUUGCUUGCCGAGCAAUCGGUUUGCAGGCCAGCAUCAGUUUUCCGGGGUGGAUAAUGGUAGAGAGAAGGUAGCAGUUUCGGCUGUGUUAUAGCUCUUUGCUGGAUACACCUUGGGGGACUGAGGAACGCAGUGUGCCUUACGGCGGAUUUCUCGAGAUCUUCACACUUAGGAUGCUGGUGGAAUGGCUUUAAACGACCCGUCUUG
RNAcentral lists this ribosomal RNA (555 nucleotides) under Rhodotorula taiwanensis. Its description in RNAcentral is "partial large subunit ribosomal RNA". It matches the Rfam family "Eukaryotic large subunit ribosomal RNA", at positions 86 to 656 of the family's 3401-position model. The record is from RNAcentral. Lineage: Eukaryota; Fungi; Basidiomycota; Microbotryomycetes; Sporidiobolales; Sporidiobolaceae.